UGGGGAAUAUUGGACAAUGGGCGGAAGCCUGAUCCAGCCAUGCCGCGUGUGUGAAGAAGGCCUUUUGGUUGUAAAGCACUUUAAGCGAGGAGGAGGCUACUUGGAUUAAUACUCUAGGAUAGUGGACGUUACUCGCAGAAUAAGCACCGGCUAACUCUGUGCCAGCAGCCGCGGUAAUACAGAGGGUGCGAGCGUUAAUCGGAUUUACUGGGCGUAAAGCGUGCGUAGGCGGCUUCUUAAGUCGGAUGUGAAAUCCCUGAGCUUAACUUAGGAAUAGCAUUCGAUACUGGGAAGCUAGAGUAUGGGAGAGGAUGGUAGAAUUCCAGGUGUAGCGGUGAAAUGCGUAGAGAUCUGGAGGAAUACCGAUGGCGAAGGCAGCCAUCUGGCCUAAUACUGACGCUGAGGUACGAAAGCAUGGGGAGCAAACAGG
RNAcentral lists this ribosomal RNA (430 nucleotides) under bacterium. RNAcentral describes it as "partial 16S ribosomal RNA". It matches the Rfam family "Bacterial small subunit ribosomal RNA", at positions 355 to 776 of the family's 1533-position model. The record is from RNAcentral.